RNAcentral lists this ribosomal RNA (601 nucleotides) under Thaxterogaster croceocoeruleus. RNAcentral describes it as "eukaryotic LSU rRNA". It matches the Rfam family "Eukaryotic large subunit ribosomal RNA", at positions 1 to 601 of the family's 3401-position model. Lineage: Eukaryota; Fungi; Basidiomycota; Agaricomycetes; Agaricales; Cortinariaceae. The record is from RNAcentral.
GUGACCUCAAAUCAGGUAGGACUACCCGCUGAACUUAAGCAUAUCAAUAAGCGGAGGAAAAGAAACUAACAAGGAUUCCCCUAGUAACUGCGAGUGAAGCGGGAAAAGCUCAAAUUUAAAAUCUGGCAGUCUCUGGCUGUCCGAGUUGUAAUCUAGAGAAGUGUUAUCCGCGUUGGACCGUGUACAAGUCUCCUGGAAUGGAGCAUCAUAGAGGGUGAGAAUCCCGUCUUUGACACGGACUGCCAGGGCUUUGUGAUGCGCUCUCAAAGAGUCGAGUUGUUUGGGAAUGCAGCUCAAAAUGGGUGGUAAAUUCCAUCUAAAGCUAAAUAUUGGCGAGAGACCGAUAGCGAACAAGUACCGUGAGGGAAAGAUGAAAAGAACUUUGGAAAGAGAGUUAAACAGUACGUGAAAUUGCUGAAAGGGAAACGCUUGAAGUCAGUCGCGUUGGCCAGGGAUCAACCUUGCUUUUGCUUGGUGUACUUUCUGGUUGACGGGUCAGCAUCAAUUUUGACCAUUGGAAAAAGAUCAAGGGAAUGUGGCAUCUUCGGAUGUGUUAUAACCCUUGGUUGCAUACAGUGGUUGGGAUUGAGGAACUCAGCAC